UGGGCAACCUGCCCCUAGCACUGGGAUAACCCCCGGGGAAACCGGAGCUAAUACCAGAUAUGACCACGGACGGCAUCAUCUCGUGGUGGAAAGAUUUAUCGGCUAGGGAUGGGCCCGCGGCCUAUCAGCUUGUUGGUGGGGUAAUGGCCUACCAAGGCGACGACGGGUAGCCGGCCUGAGAGGGCGACCGGCCACACUGGGACUGAGACACGGCCCAGACUCCUACGGGAGGCA
This 234-nucleotide ribosomal RNA is filed under the name uncultured bacterium. RNAcentral's name for it is "partial 16S ribosomal RNA". It matches the Rfam family "Bacterial small subunit ribosomal RNA", at positions 118 to 350 of the family's 1533-position model. The record is from RNAcentral.